RNAcentral lists this ribosomal RNA (279 nucleotides) under uncultured bacterium. RNAcentral describes it as "partial 16S ribosomal RNA". It matches the Rfam family "Bacterial small subunit ribosomal RNA", at positions 506 to 784 of the family's 1533-position model. The record is from RNAcentral.
UGCCAGCCGCCGCGGUAAUACGGAGGGUGCGAGCGUUAAUCGGAAUUACUGGGCGUAAAGCGUGCGUAGGUGGCUUGGUAAGUCGGAUGUGAAAGCCCUGGGCUCAACCUGGGAACUGCAUUCGAUACUGCCUGGCUAGAGGGUGGCAGAGGAAAGCGGAAUUCCAAGUGUAGCGGUGAAAUGCGUAGAUAUUUGGAGGAACAUCGGUAGCGAAAGCGGCAUUCUGGACCAUUCCUGACGCUGAGGUACGAAAGCGUGGGUAGCAAACAGGAUUAGAUA